This 257-nucleotide ribosomal RNA is filed under the name uncultured bacterium. RNAcentral describes it as "partial 16S ribosomal RNA". It matches the Rfam family "Bacterial small subunit ribosomal RNA", at positions 29 to 289 of the family's 1533-position model. The record is from RNAcentral.
ACGAACGCUGGCGGCGUGCUUAACACAUGCAAGUCGAACGGUAAGGCCCUUUCGGGGGUACACGAGUGGCGAACGGGUGAGUAACACGUGGGUAAUCUGCCCUGCACUUCGGGAUAAGCCUGGGGAACCGGGUCUAAUACCGGAUAUGAGCUCCUGCCGCAUGGUGGGGGUUGGAAAGUUUUUCGGUGCAGGAUGAGUCCGCGGCCUAUCAGCUUGUUGGUGGGGUAAUGGCCUACCAAGGCGACGACGGGUAGCCG